CACAGAAUGUAGUACGACUUAAUCAUCAAACACUAUGCGAUACAAUGAAUUUAAGAAAAUCAUUUAAAAAACAUAGUCUAAAGUAUUCUAAAGGCAUUGAAAAAAAUAAAUGUGCACCACUGUUGUUAACUAAGUUUAGAUCAACAUCUGACGAGGUAAAAAAUUUAAUAAUCUAUUCCCUCCAAAGGCUUGAAGAGUAUUUUAUAUUUAUGCUUCAAAGCUCUAAUAAAACCAUGUACCAAUUAAACAAGGACCAAAUGGAUCAAAAUGUGUUAAGUCCCUUUAAAAAAUUAUGCGGUGAUGUACCGGAAAUACUUCUGUACAUACAUGAACAUAAAACUAAUGACCCGAUUGACUUAACUUUGUUUAAUCUGUUUUUAUCACUUUGCGGAAAUAACAUGGACUUUAUCGAUCUCCGGUGUCCCGCUAAAUACGGAAGUGAAUUUGAUAGCAUAUUAUUAUAUCAAGAGAAAUGUAUUAGGGAAGCGAUAAGAGUUAAAUUACUGUGGAAUUAUUAUGUUCGAAAUGAAACAAUUUUAGAAAUAGAUGA
This is a non-coding RNA of Cinara cedri, 550 nucleotides long. NCBI's taxonomy places the organism in Eukaryota, Metazoa, Arthropoda, Insecta, Hemiptera, Aphididae. The record is from the annotation of a GenBank genome assembly.